CAGCAAUUUUCCACCCCUAUGUCUUCCCAGGUUGAUUACCCUAGAUUUAGUAAGUUGUUUUUGGACAUUCCAUUGCUGACACGCCCCCUCAGGUUGUUGGACGUGAACCUGAUGCUCAGGAUGCCUUCCCAGUUUCUGUCAAAGAUCUGACAACAGAUGUGCAGAUUACUGGAUGUACAGAACCUGAUAAUAAAUCUAAAAUGAAAACACCUCGUAUUAGAUCAAAGUAAUACACAAUUAUUCAAAAAUUGAAAGCAAGAUGUAACAGAUUACUCAGUAAAGUUCAAAGUUUGAAAAUGGUAAAAAGAGUUUUCACAAAAUGCAAAUUGCCAUCAGCAGUUUUAACCUAAAUGCAUCCAAAUAUUUGAAAGGUUUUGGAUUAGAAUUUUUCAAAACAAAUUCUGUUGAAUUCUGUUAAAACUAAGGGUUGACGAUACUAACAGUCCCAGCGCUGUCUGUAAUUUAGAAAUUCUAGAAUGUACUGUUUCCUAGCACAAAUAUUUAUUUUGCCUACACCAUGUAUGAUCAGGUACUGAAUUCAGAGGCUGAUAUUAAGCAAUGGGUGGAAUGAAUCAUUAUUCAGAUUAUUGAAAAAGAAAGCAGAAGCAAUGACACAACAAGAAAGGGUACAUGGAGUUGUUUUUGAUGCCAUUUCCAUCUAAAAAAGCAUUAAUUAUGAUGUCCAUCAAGACCAAUUUCAUAGUUUGGAAGAUUUAGGAGACUAUAGAAGCUCAACAAACCAGCAAAUUAUGCCAUGGUCUUCAUGGCGGAAGGUCUGGCUUCAAAAUGGAAACAGAGCCUAGGCUAUUUCCUUUUUAAUAAGAGCAUAAAGCCAGAACUUUUGAAAACAAUGGUCAUUAAUUGUUUGAUGAAAUUACAAAUGAUAGGAAUGACUCCAAAAUUUGUUAUUGCUGAUUUUUUUCAAAACCCAGUAUUUCACUGGCUUCACCAUUUACAGUUGUAAAGGAUGAAAAAAUAUAUUUCUUUUAUGAUCCUCCUUACUUAUUAAAGAGUAUCAGGAAUAACCUUAUCAAAAGUGACUUUAUAGUAAAUGAAAAAACUAUUAAAUGGAAAUAUAUUGAAAAAUUCUGUGAAAGAGACAGCAGCAUGUCUCUGAAAUUAGCUUUCGAGAGAAUGAGGGUAUGAUUAGCUGCAGAAGUUUUGAGUCACACUGUCGCUGCUGGAAUAAACACAUAUGCUGAAAUUGGGUACUCUCUCUGAAGAGGCAAAGUAUACAGCAACUAUCUUGAAAUGAAAUUGAUAGUUUAUUUGACAUUUUCAAUAUUAAUCAUAUCAGUCAUUAUAAGAGCAAGAGAUGUGCAUUUGUUUCCAAUAAUGGUCAGUUAAAAAAACUCAAACAUUUAGAAAUAUGGUUGAAUUCUUUAGGUCC
This 1390-nucleotide long non-coding RNA is filed under the name Penaeus japonicus. RNAcentral's name for it is "uncharacterized LOC122251272". Lineage: Eukaryota; Metazoa; Arthropoda; Malacostraca; Decapoda; Penaeidae. The record is from RNAcentral.